CCGGACGUGUUUUUUAAAUUAAUUGRGCUGGGGSGGCAUCUUACAUACACAAGAAAAAUUAACAUUCAUUAAUGAAAAUUUAGCUCUUAAAAAAAGAUAGAAUAAGUUACUUUAGGGAUAACAGCACAAUUUUUUCAUAUAUAUCUUAUAGAARAAAAAGACUUGUGACCUCGAUGUUGAAUUGAAGAGCCUAAUUUAAG
RNAcentral lists this ribosomal RNA (200 nucleotides) under Nannoniscus sp. 4 RMJ-2019. RNAcentral describes it as "partial large subunit ribosomal RNA". The record is from RNAcentral. Lineage: Eukaryota; Metazoa; Arthropoda; Malacostraca; Isopoda; Nannoniscidae.